GACAAACGCUGGCGGCAUGCCUAACACAUGCAAGUCGAACGGACAGAACAGAGAAGCUCUUCGGAGUGGAACUGGAAAGUUAGUGGCGGAUGGGUGAGUAACGCGUGGACAACCUACCUUGUAAAGGGGAAUAACCUCGAGAAAUCGAAGCUAAUACCCCAUAAUAACCUUGCUUCGCAUGAAGCAAGGAGGAAAGGCGGCCUUAGAGCUGUCGAUAGAAGAUGGGUCCGCGUCUGAUUAGCUAGUUGGUGAGGUAAAGGCUCACCAAGGCGACGAUCAGUAGCCGGCCUGAGAGGGUGAACGGCCACAUUGGGACUGAGACACGGCCCAAACUCCUACGGGAGGCAGCAGUGGGGAAUCUUCCGCAUGGGCGAAAGCCUGACGGAGCAAUGCCGCGUGAGUGAAGAAGGCCUUCGGGUUGUAAAACUCUGUCCUAGACGAAGAGAGAGUGUUG
Molecule: ribosomal RNA, 454 nt
Filed under: Peptococcus sp. oral taxon 167
Lineage: Bacteria; Bacillati; Bacillota; Clostridia; Eubacteriales; Peptococcaceae
Description: bacterial SSU rRNA
Rfam family: Bacterial small subunit ribosomal RNA
Source: RNAcentral